CCGAAGUCAUGAGAAAUAACGUGACGUUAGAACCGUGCGAACGUAUGGACGCCGCCGCGACGGUCGGGUACCUGUGAAGUCAGGUUUUAAAAGUCCCUCGCCUGACCUCGCGGCCGAAAAGAGGGCGCGCGAGGACUUAUUUCUCGUGCGUCCCGCCCGUUAGAGAUGGGAAAAAUGGAAAUGUCGUAAUCCCACGAUCAGCGUAUCGAUGGCGAGAAUGAAUAAAUAAAACGAGUAAUUUCCUAGACGGUGGAUCACUCGGCUCGUGGAUCGAUGAAGAACGCAGCAAAAUGCGCGUCGAAGUGUGAACUGCAGGACACAUGAACAUCGACGUUUCGAACGCCCAUUGCGGCCCACGGAUUCUGUUCCCGGGCCACGCCUGGCUGAGGGCCGGCUAUCGAUACUAAGUGGUCGGGCUCGUUCCCGACCGAGCGGAGCGAUCUUCAUCGCGUGCCUCGCUCGCGGGGCAUCGCAUCGGCCUUCGCCGUCUCGCAGACACUCCCGCCGCUGCGGCGUUCGUCGCUUGGGUGACGAAGCCGCCGUACGCGUAUUCCGUACGGAAAAUAGCGGGUGCCGUAGAGCUUACGCUUCUGUGUGGCGGCAUGCUCGGCACUUCGCUUUCCAUGGCGGCUUCCGUACGGCGGCCGUGCGCUGCAGGCGGGCGGGGCUAUCACUUUUAAUAAUGCCGACCUCAUAGCAGACGAGACUACCCGCCA
Molecule: ribosomal RNA, 716 nt
Filed under: Aeshna grandis
Lineage: Eukaryota; Metazoa; Arthropoda; Insecta; Odonata; Aeshnidae
Description: eukaryotic LSU rRNA
Rfam family: 5.8S ribosomal RNA (bases 239-393)
Source: RNAcentral